GUGAAUCAUCGAAUUUUUGAACGCAAAUUGCACUCUCUUCGGAGAGUAUGCCUGUUUGAGGGUCAGUAUUAAUAAAAAUCGGUUUGUUGCUUCUUUGUGACGCUCCGGAGUUUGAGUCGUCUUACUAUCCUUUAUGUUUUAAGAGCCUUAAAAUUAACUUUUUUUGCGCAUUUUAAAUUUACAUAAAUUCUUUUUUUAUUCGUAUAUUCUUAAUGCCAAAAUCUUAUUAGAGUCGAUCACAUCGUGUGGCUUCGUGACUAU
RNAcentral lists this unclassified non-coding RNA (261 nucleotides) under Glomeraceae sp. Its description in RNAcentral is "partial contains 5.8S ribosomal RNA and internal transcribed spacer 2". The stretch from base 1 to 65 matches the Rfam family "5.8S ribosomal RNA", at positions 84 to 154 of the family's 154-position model. Lineage: Eukaryota; Fungi; Glomeromycota; Glomeromycetes; Glomerales; Glomeraceae. The record is from RNAcentral.